AUUGAACGCUGGCGGCAUGCUUUACACAUGCAAGUCGAACGGUAACAGGCCUUCGGGUGCUGACGAGUGGCGAACGGGUGAGUAAUGCAUCGGAACGUACCCAGAGGUGGGGGAUAACGCAGCGAAAGCUGUGCUAAUACCGCAUGUGAUCUGAGGAUGAAAGCGGGGGACCGCGCAGCAAUGUUUGGCCUCGCGCCUUUGGAGCGGCCGAUGUCGGAUUAGCUAGUUGGUGGGGUAAAGGCCUACCAAGGCGACGAUCCGUAGCUGGUCUGAGAGGACGACCAGCCACACUGGGACUGAGACACGGCCCAGACUCCUACGGGAGGCAGCAGUGGGGAAUUUUGGACAAAGGGCGCAAGCCUGAUCCAGCAAUGCCGCGUGCGGGAAGAAGGCCUUCGGGUUGUAAACCGCUUUUGGCAGGAACGAAACGGUGUCCGCUAAUACCGGGCGCUAAUGACGGUACCUGCAGAAUAAGCACCGGCUAACUACGUG
RNAcentral lists this ribosomal RNA (492 nucleotides) under uncultured bacterium. Its description in RNAcentral is "partial 16S ribosomal RNA". It matches the Rfam family "Bacterial small subunit ribosomal RNA", at positions 29 to 507 of the family's 1533-position model. The record is from RNAcentral.